This 792-nucleotide long non-coding RNA is filed under the name Androctonus crassicauda. The record is from RNAcentral. Lineage: Eukaryota; Metazoa; Arthropoda; Arachnida; Scorpiones; Buthidae.
UUAUAUCCAUGUCUAGCAGCGGCAGCCAUGAUAUAGUCAGGCUCUUUCUUUUUGUCAGCCCAUGUAGUGUUCUCCUCUCUGGAGUUCCUAGAUAACAUGUUGCAAGUAGGGCCGCUUCCAGACGAAUCCUAUACUAUAGUAGAUUUUGACGCUCUCUACCCGACUAUUGAGCUUGCCCCUGUGGCACUUCUGUUCUACAGGUUUAUGCUAGAAAACGUUCCAGACUCACAUAAUUGUGCCAAGGUGUUAAGGGAUAUCGCUCAUACUGUAGUGUAUAACUCCUACUUCAUCUUUCGGGGUACUAUGUACAGACAAAGGAGGGGUGUCCUGAUUGGGGGCCCCUUGCUGGUGUAAUUGCCGAAAUUGUAGUUAGAUUCAAGGAGGGUCAAAUACUGCAAGGUUUACUAGGAGAUGUUAAACUGUACCAAAGAUAUGUGGAUGUCUGUAUAGUCUGGGGACCCCAACACUGUGAAAAUAAGUUUAUACAAGACAUGACUGAUGCUAUCCUCGGUCUGACGCUUAGGCUGAAGCAGUCUAGUCGAGACUCCUUUCAUUUCUUAGAUGUAGAAAUCUCCGUACAGGCAGGAGAGUAUGUUACCUUGAUCUAUAGAAGACCUACUUUUGUGCUUACUCAUUACAUCCUGGCAUGGUCCAGAGAUCCUUUGGUGUAUAAACUUGCUGCCUUUUGGGGCGAUGAUUAACUGAAUGCGUACCCAUAUAACGAAAUGGGCUGACAAAAAGAAAGAGCUAAACUAUAUCAUGAAUAUUGUGGCUAAAUACAGCUAUAAGAAA